This 613-nucleotide long non-coding RNA is filed under the name Sorghum bicolor (sorghum). RNAcentral's name for it is "long non-coding RNA (SBIC_LNC010648)". Lineage: Eukaryota; Viridiplantae; Streptophyta; Magnoliopsida; Poales; Poaceae. The record is from RNAcentral.
CUAUCUAGAUCUACUCUAGUUUAGAGAAGAGAGGAGAGCUCUCAUCUCUAAACCCUAGCUUUUGCUCUGUCUAUGAAUAAUGAAUAAUGAUCAAGGGGUGCCUCCUCCAGGGGCCAGGGGGUCUGGUUAUAUAGUCCCCUCAAGUGAACCUGGGCCGUCGGAUCAAACCGACAUUGAUUGAAUGGUUAUUCUUGAUCCUUUAGGUCGGUGGAGCAUAAUCUGCGAGGUUGAACGUGAUUGGCCACUGUAGCAGGGCGGGCGCCCUAAGGACUUGGGCGGGCGCCCAGGUCCUGGCUUCGUUCGGCCUCCGCUUCCUUCCCGUGGCUUCUGGAGUCUUCUAGAUGUAAAAUAAUUGCGCAGCACAUUGAUAUCUCUAUGUAAUCCUGACGUGUGGACCUUUCUUCCGUAAUUCCUGAUAACCCCCUGUAGAAAUAGACAAACACCAAAACUCGUGGAAUUCUGUCACAUAAAACCCUAAGUCUAGAUGUUGAUUUCAUUUAGAUCUUUUUCUUUGUUUAUUUGAUAAUUAAAUUUGAUACUUAAGGACCGUCAACAAACUCCCCCAAUCUUACUCUUGCUCGUCCCUGAGCAAGGAUAGACUCAGCAAUGGAUC